Molecule: long non-coding RNA, 577 nt
Filed under: Anser brachyrhynchus (Pink-footed goose)
Lineage: Eukaryota; Metazoa; Chordata; Aves; Anseriformes; Anatidae
Description: lncRNA (ENSABRG00000006959.1)
Source: RNAcentral
ACAGAAAAUCCUUCCUGCAGCAUGGGCCAGGUUAUACCGGAUGUCUCAUACAGGCCAGUAUCUUAUUCCAUGCAUGACUUACUCAUGUUGCAAAAGCAGGCCCUUGUGAUUAUAUAACAGCUCUCAAGAGGAAGCUGCUAACAAGACCAUCUGACAUUUUUUUGCCAGCUGUUUUAGUGGAGGCGUGUUGGAUUAGACUGAGCUCCACCUUCUCUGAUGAGCAAAGCAUUUGGAAAAUGACAGAGCCUGAAGAAAAAGGAAUUUCAAAAUCUGGCUCCCCAUUUUCUCCUGAGCAGGUCUGCUCUUCUACAUGUGUGGACAAGUAGGCAAGAGUGGUCUACAAGCUCCUUCUCAGCAAGCCCGGCUGUUAGGAGUCAUGACUUCGCAUGAUGCAGUGACUCCUGCUAAGUUCCUGUCAGUGUGCCAUAGUUCAGUGAGAAGCACAGUGUCUUCAGAUGGUGCUGGACAAGCUUUUCUCCAUGAUGUGCUGUUAAAAGCAUAUAUCCAGAUAUCCAGAAAAAAAAAAAAAGUGGAAAAAAAGAAGCAGCUGACCAAUAACUUACCUAGAAAAUGCUGA